Molecule: long non-coding RNA, 453 nt
Filed under: Piliocolobus tephrosceles (Ugandan red Colobus)
Lineage: Eukaryota; Metazoa; Chordata; Mammalia; Primates; Cercopithecidae
Description: lncRNA (ENSPTEG00000033813.1)
Source: RNAcentral
GUGCUGCACUGUCGCCUCUGUCGCACUUCUCUGUGGGAGCUGACAUUUUGCUUGUACUUCAUCAGGCUGGACCACCUGCUGAGAGCCAGCUUGAUGGACAUCACUGCUCACCCUCCCCAGUCCUAUAACCACUAGACAACCUGGAACAGAGAAACUGCCCUGUCCAUUCAGCUCAAGAAAAGCCCUGCAGACUCUCUGAAGAUGGCAUUGCAAGGAGAAAAUGAGGAUACAUGUCCAAGUGACAUAUCAAGUAAAAAAUCCUUCCAGUUGGCCUCCAGGCUCAAGGUAAUUACAUUGUCUGCCCACAUAGGCUUUGCUGUAGAAAGCUGCCUAGAGAGAACACUUGACUUUCCAGUGGAUGGAAAGAGACAUUGGUAGAGAUCAUUCAAAGUGGUGGUUAUGAUGCCACCAUAUAGGACCAUCCUAGUCCCAGUUGCCAGGGAUAGUACAGAG